AAAAAUCCGUUGGCUUUAUUGACCGUGAGGGUUCAAGUCCCUCUACCCGC
This 50-nucleotide transfer RNA is filed under the name Orthotrichum anomalum. RNAcentral's name for it is "partial tRNA-Leu". Lineage: Eukaryota; Viridiplantae; Streptophyta; Bryopsida; Orthotrichales; Orthotrichaceae. The record is from RNAcentral.